This 468-nucleotide ribosomal RNA is filed under the name uncultured bacterium. Its description in RNAcentral is "partial 16S ribosomal RNA". It matches the Rfam family "Bacterial small subunit ribosomal RNA", at positions 28 to 507 of the family's 1533-position model. The record is from RNAcentral.
GACGAACGCUGGCGGCGUGCUUAACACAUGCAAGUCGAACGGAAAGGCCCUGCUUUUGUGGGGUGCUCGAGUGGCGAACGGGUGAGUAACACGUGAGUAACCUGCCCUUGACUUUGGGAUAACUUCAGGAAACUGGGGCUAAUACCGGCUAGGAGCUCCUGCUGCAUGGUGGGGGUUGGAAAGUUUCGGCGGUUGGGGCUGGACUCGCGGCUUAUCAGCUUGUUGGUGGGGUAGUGGCUUACCAAGGCUUUGACGGGUAGCCGGCCUGAGAGGGUGACCGGCCACAUUGGGACUGAGAUACGGCCCAGACUCCUACGGGAGGCAGCAGUGGGGAAUAUUGCACAAUGGGCGGAAGCCUGAUGCAGCAACGCCGUGUGCGGGAUGACGGCCUUCGGGUUGUAAACCGCUUUCGCCUGUGACGAAGCGUGAGUGACGGUAAUGGGUAAAGAAGCACCGGCUAACUACGUG